AUAGCGGAGGAAAAGAAACCAACCGGGAUUGCCUCAGUAACGGCGAGUGAAGCGGCAAGAGCUCAAAUUUGAAAUCUGGCCCCUCCGGGGUCCGAGUUGUAAUUUGCAGAGGAUGCUUCGGGUGCGGCCCCUGUCUAAGUGCCCUGGAACGGGCCGUCAGAGAGGGUGAGAAUCCCGUCUUGGGCAGGGUGCCCGUGCCCGUGUGAAGCUCCUUCGACGAGUCGAGUUGUUUGGGAAUGCAGCUCAAAAUGGGUGGUAAAUUUCAUCUAAAGCUAAAUACCGGCCGGAGACCGAUAGCGCACAAGUAGAGUGAUCGAAAGAUGAAAAGCACUUUGAAAAGAGAGUUAAACAGCACGUGAAAUUGUUGAAAGGGAAGCGCUUGCAACCAGACUCGGCCUCGGGGUUCAGCCAGCAUUCGUGCUGGUGUACUUCCCCGGGGCCGGGCCAGCGUCGGUUUGGGCGGCCGGUCAAAGGCCCCAGGAAUGUAUCGUCCUCCGGGACGUCUUAUAGCCUGGGGUGCAAUGCGGCCAGCCUGGACCGAGGAACGCGCUUCGGC
RNAcentral lists this ribosomal RNA (556 nucleotides) under Pyricularia grisea. RNAcentral describes it as "eukaryotic LSU rRNA". It matches the Rfam family "Eukaryotic large subunit ribosomal RNA", at positions 47 to 606 of the family's 3401-position model. Lineage: Eukaryota; Fungi; Ascomycota; Sordariomycetes; Magnaporthales; Pyriculariaceae. The record is from RNAcentral.